This 267-nucleotide unclassified non-coding RNA is filed under the name Hevea brasiliensis (rubber tree). Lineage: Eukaryota; Viridiplantae; Streptophyta; Magnoliopsida; Malpighiales; Euphorbiaceae. The record is from RNAcentral.
AUGGUUUGUGGAAGUAUGAUGUUGUAAUUUGUUCUAUAUUUUUCGUCAGGAGAAUUUUUUUUUCUUGCAAUGAACUCGAUGGAGCAAGAAAUUACGUUAAUUUAUACACUAAAUCAGGAGUGGGAGAGCAAAAGCCGAAGAAUAGAGGACUUCCUCCAGGCUUUUUAUUCUGGGCAUUUUUCUUUUGUUCCUUCUCUUGAAAGAAGUAUUUUGGUUUUUGUUUCUCUUUUAUGUUUGUAUAGCUUGUAUGGUUUUUGGCAGUUCUUG